GCAUCCAAAAUUCCUGCCUUCCGAAGGCAGAGGCCAUAGGUUCGAAUCCUUUCGGGUGCG
RNAcentral lists this transfer RNA (60 nucleotides) under Antarctobacter albus. Its description in RNAcentral is "Mameliella alba tRNA_Arg_CCG". The record is from RNAcentral. Lineage: Bacteria; Pseudomonadati; Pseudomonadota; Alphaproteobacteria; Rhodobacterales; Roseobacteraceae.